UACGGAAGGCAGCAGUGGGGAAUAUUGCACAAUGGGCGCAAGCCUGAUGCAGCCAUGCCGCGUGUAUGAAGAAGGCCUUCGGGUUGUAAAGUACUUUCAGUCGUGAGGAAGGUGUUAAGGUUAAUAACCUUAGCAAUUGACGUUAGCGACAGAAGAAGCACCGGCUAACUCCGUGCCAGCAGCCGCGGUAAUACGGAGGGUGCGAGCGUUAAUCGGAAUUACUGGGCGUAAAGGGCACGCAGGCGGUUAAUUAAGUUGGAUGUGAAAUCCCCGGGCUUAACCUGGGAAUGGCAUUCAAGACUGGUUAGCUAGAGUCUUGUAGAGGGGGUUAGAAUUCCAUGUGUAGCGGUGAAAUGCGUAGAGAUGUGGAGGAAUACCGGUGGCGAAGGCGGCCCCUGGGACAAAGGACUGACGCUCAUGUGCGAAAGCGUGGGGAGCGAAAC
RNAcentral lists this ribosomal RNA (443 nucleotides) under uncultured bacterium. RNAcentral describes it as "bacterial SSU rRNA". It matches the Rfam family "Bacterial small subunit ribosomal RNA", at positions 340 to 774 of the family's 1533-position model. The record is from RNAcentral.